This 20-nucleotide non-coding RNA is filed under the name Rattus norvegicus (Norway rat). The record is from RNAcentral. Lineage: Eukaryota; Metazoa; Chordata; Mammalia; Rodentia; Muridae.
CAAGGAAACCAUGAUUGUGC